This is a long non-coding RNA of Quercus robur (English oak), 496 nucleotides long. RefSeq lists it as uncharacterized. The record is from RefSeq and is a predicted model, not a curated record. Lineage: Eukaryota; Viridiplantae; Streptophyta; Magnoliopsida; Fagales; Fagaceae. The transcript is spliced from 3 exons.
GACAUGCGACAGGAAGAGCAAAGCAAAUCAUUCCACACCCUCCACCAGUUCCUCCAACUUGUGAGACAAGCAACCCCUUGGUCUGCCCUAUUUGUGUAACGAAUCCAAGGGACUGGGCCUUCGGCUGUGGGCACGUGACUUGUAGAGACAGUGGGGCGAGAUCGCCCAGAUGUCCAAUGUGUCGUAAAGACAUCACAGGAAGUCAUAUGGUGUACCUCUAGUGACUGCUCCUAGAGAAUUGAAAAUGUUAUUUGGAGUUUGGACUUUGUAUGGGAGAGUUCUCUCCCUCUCCAAUAAUACAUAGAUUACAUGCACAUCAUACUACAUACACUACAUAUUAUUAAAUGAACAUUAGACUGCAAAUUGCGUACUGGGCUACUGACUCGGUAGCAUGGGAUUCAAUUCCAGGCCACCUGAGUGUGGGGAAAGAUAUGUAAAUUAAGGAAAAACAAUAUUUACCGAUUUUUAUCACCAAUAAGUGGCGUUUGAAAGACAA